GUGGACGCCAGUCUGCGUGGAGCCGACCUUGAAAUACCACCCUUUAAUGUUUGAUGUUCUAACGUGGACCCGUAAUCCGGGUUGCGGACAGUGUCUGGUGGGUAGUUUGACUGGGGCGGUCUCCUCCUAAAGAGUAACGGAGGAGCACGAAGGUUGGCUAAUCCUGGUCGGACAUCAGGAGGUUAGUGCAAUGGCAUAAGCCAGCUUGACUGCGAGCGUGACGGCGCGAGCAGGUGCGAAAGCAGGUCAUAGUGAUCCGGUGGUUCUGAAUGGAAGGGCCAUCGCUCAACGGAUAAAAGGUACUCCGGGGAUAACAGGCUGAUACCGCCCAAGAGUUCAUAUCGACGGCGGUGUUUGGCACCUCGAUGUCGGCUCAUCACAUCCUGGGGCUGAAGUAGGUCCCAAGGGUAUGGCUGUUCGCCAUUUAAAGUGGUACGCGAGCUGGGUUUAGAACGUCGUGAGACAGUUCGGUCCCUAUCUGCCGUGGGCGCUGGAGAACUGAGGGGGGCUGCUCCUAGUACGAGAGGACCGGAGUGGACGCAUCACUGGUGUUCGGGUUGUCAUGCCAAUGGCACUGCCCGGUAGCUAAAUGCGGAAGAGAUAAGUGCUGAAAGCAUCUAAGCACGAAACUUGCCCCGAGAUGAGUUCUCCCUGAGACUUUAGGUCUCCUGAAGGAACGUUGAAGACGACGACGUUGAUAGGCCGGGUGUGUAAGCGCAGCGAUGCGUUGAGCUAACCGGUACUAAUGAAC
This 751-nucleotide ribosomal RNA is filed under the name Salmonella enterica subsp. enterica serovar Bareilly. Its description in RNAcentral is "partial 23S ribosomal RNA". It matches the Rfam family "Bacterial large subunit ribosomal RNA", at positions 2164 to 2909 of the family's 2925-position model. Lineage: Bacteria; Pseudomonadati; Pseudomonadota; Gammaproteobacteria; Enterobacterales; Enterobacteriaceae. The record is from RNAcentral.